CCCUUAUUAUUUUGUCCCACACUCACCCCCUCCUAACCCAGUAGCCCUAACUUCUUGAGCUCCCGCUGGAUCCACCGUAAGGUCCCCUCUUGCGGCAUCUCCUCUGCUCGGCGUCCCUCCCAUGCUCGUCGCUACUAGAAGAAGGCCAUUCAUCCACUACCAGCGACAGUCGACGGAACAAAGAUGAAUCAAGGUUGGAAGUGUUAGCGACAAAUCUUGGAGCUUCGAUGCCGUAACAAAAAUCACUUGAGCUAUGGUUCUUUCUCCUUCAAAUAUCUCAGCAUUCCGAACUCUACGCAGGACCCACACAGCGUUGCAAUCAACGUCAGCUUUCUCUCUCCUUCUUGUCCCAAACUCAUCAAUGCGCACACCGCCAGCCACAGAUCAGCAAAAUUUUUAAAUUGCUGCUGCUAGUUAAUGGAGUCGAAGCCUGAUUCAGCAGGCCCGCAAUUAAGCAAACGGUUUUCGAAGAAGUUCUGCAUCUUGAACUUAGUACUUCAAUCAGAUUCUGACAGUUGUGCUUGAAGUGCUGGAUGAUUCAGAUUCCUCAAUCAGAGAGCUUGCUCUUUCAAUGCUUGUUGCAAUGCUUAAAAACCAGAUUCUUACCCCUUUUUAUGCACUCCACUUUGUUUCAUUGUGCCCUUGCCUAUAUUGGUAAAUGCAACCAUACAUAUUUCUUUUAUGGACUUUUUGGAAUAUAAUAAGAGGUUGUUCUAUCUUUCUGUUUAUUCAUUCCAGAAAGAUGCCAUGGAAAGUUCAGUCGAAAUUGUUAUUGAAAAGCUGCUUAAUAUAACAAAAGAUAGAGUUUCUAAGGUGUGGAAUGCUUGUAAACCAAGCGUGGAUGAUACUGAACAGCCAAAUCACGAGAUAGAUGUGUUAUCUGGGCAUGAAAAUGAUGUAAACUAUGUGCAAUUUAGUGGAUGUGCAGUAGCAUCUCAGUUUUCCACAUCAAAAAUUUGGAAAGAGGAAAAUAUUCCCAAAUUUAAGAAUUCAUGGUGGGUGGGUGUGUAUAUAUAUCUUUGGGAACUAGUGUUUUGAAUGUUCUGACUCCUAGAUUGGCCCUCUUCUCUCCUAUGCUUUCUUCCAGCUAAAAAUGCCUUCUGCCCAAUUCUCAAUGUUUUAGCUAUCUAAUAAUCUAGUCGGCUUUUAUUCUAGGUUGAAUCAUGAUAAUAUUGUUAUCUGCUCUCGUGAUGGGAGUGCUAUUAUAUGGAUUCCCAAAUCACGCAGGUCACAUGUAAAAUUCAUCAAAUGUAAUUUCUUCUAUGGUUGCUUUCUUUCUUUUUCCUCUUUUUAUGAAGGAAAGUGAGAGUUAUGGCUACUUUGUUACCCAAAUUACCAAAGAUUAGUUGACUACAUUCUAGUUUUUCAAAUUUUUUCUAUUUAGGAGAAAAGUAGUCGCUGGACUCGGGCAUAUCAUCUGAGAGUUCUACCUCCACCUAUGCCUCCUCAACCUUAGAGAGAUGGUCCUCGUCAGAGAACUCUACCCACUCCACGUGGUGUAAAUAUGAUUGUUUGGAGUCUAGAUAACUGCUUUGUCCUUGCAGUUAUUAUGGGUGAGAAAACUCUUGUUGUGGCAAAGAUAGUGUGAGGAUGCAUUGUAUUUCCUGUUCACUUUUGGUUGUCGACGGCCUGUGCGUCACUUGGCAUCAGUUGCAAUGGCAAAAAUCAUAUCAAAGGAGAUGGAAUAUCUAUUUAUGCUAGAGCAAGCAGUCUUUAAGGAUUUCUUUAAUAUAUUUGUUUUUGAGUUUUUGUCAGCCAAAUUGGUUCUCUUGUUUGAGAAAUUAUAUAGAAUUCAAUUUUUGUAAACAAUUUUAAUUAUUAUUCUAUCAAUGAUUCUUGUUACCA
Molecule: RNA transcript, 1845 nt
Organism: Arachis stenosperma
Lineage: Eukaryota; Viridiplantae; Streptophyta; Magnoliopsida; Fabales; Fabaceae
Exons: 4
Source: RefSeq, a predicted model, not a curated record